RNAcentral lists this ribosomal RNA (253 nucleotides) under uncultured bacterium. Its description in RNAcentral is "partial 16S ribosomal RNA". It matches the Rfam family "Bacterial small subunit ribosomal RNA", at positions 524 to 776 of the family's 1533-position model. The record is from RNAcentral.
UACGUAGGGUGCGAGCGUUAUUCGGAAUUACUGGGCGUAAAGCGUGCGCAGGCGGUUUUGCAAGUCAGGUGUGAAAUCCCCGGGCUCAACCUGGGAACUGCAUUUGUGACUGCAUGACUAGAGUACGGCAGAGGGGGAUGGAAUUCCGCGUGUAGCAGUGAAAUGCGUAGAUAUGCGGAGGAACACCGAUGGCGAAGGCAAUCCCCUGGGCCUGUACUGACGCUCAUGCACGAAAGCGUGGGGAGCAAACAGG